ACGAUUACAGAGCAAUGUAGUGUUUGGGAGUGCCCGUUUAACCUAAACAAUAUAUAAGUGAGUUCAAGUCCUUCUUGAAGGGGGCCAUUUUCCCAUAGAGGGUGCUAGGCCCGUAGUAACCAUUUAUAUGUUUAGGUGGGUAUCUCCUUAGAGUCGGGUUGCUUGAGAGUGCAGCUCUAAGUGGGUGGUAAACUCCAUCUAAGGCUAAAUAUGACUACGAAACCGAUAGCGAACAAGUACCGUGAGGGAAAGUUGAAAAGAACUUUGCAGAGAGAGUUCAAGAGUACGUGAAACUGUUCAGGGGUAAACCUGUAAUACCCAAAUAGUUCGAAAGAGGUGAUUCAUUUGUUUUUCCGUUUAUAAUCAUUUUUCAGUAUAUAGACAUAUAUAAAUCAUUUACAAUUUUUAAUUGUAUUUGUUAUAUUAUAUAUGCUAUUCUGAUUAAUGUAUAGUUUAUAUUCGGUGGCAUGCACUUCAUCUCUAGUAGAGCGUCGUAACUCAUUAGAUAUAAUAUAUUUAUAUAUGUGGUGUUU
Molecule: ribosomal RNA, 533 nt
Filed under: Brachinus gebhardis
Lineage: Eukaryota; Metazoa; Arthropoda; Insecta; Coleoptera; Carabidae
Description: partial 28S ribosomal RNA
Rfam family: Eukaryotic large subunit ribosomal RNA
Source: RNAcentral